Molecule: ribosomal RNA, 395 nt
Filed under: uncultured bacterium
Lineage: Bacteria
Description: bacterial SSU rRNA
Rfam family: Bacterial small subunit ribosomal RNA
Source: RNAcentral
GUGUCAGCAGCCGCGGUAAUACGUAGGGGGCGAGCGUUGUCCGGAUUUAUUGGGCGUAAAGCGCGGGCAGGCGGCAGCGUAAGUCGGCCGUGAAAGCGCCGGGCUCAACUCGGCGAGGACGGGCGAGACUGGGCUGCUCGAGCAAGGCAGAGGGCGGUGGAAUUCCGGGUGUAGUGGUGGAAUGCGUAGAGCUCCGGAGGAACACCAGUGGCGAAGGCGGCCGCCUGGGCCUUUGCUGACGCUGAGCCGCGAAAGCGUGGGGAGCGAGCCGGAUUAGAUACCCGGGUAGUCCACGCCGUAAACGAUGGGCACUAGGUGUCGGGGGUAUCGACCCCCUCGGUGCCGGCGCUAACGCAAUAAGUGCCCCGCCUGGGGAGUACGGCCGCAAGGCUAAA